Cyprinus carpio carpio is the source of this 2959-nucleotide long non-coding RNA. NCBI's taxonomy places the organism in Eukaryota, Metazoa, Chordata, Actinopteri, Cypriniformes, Cyprinidae. The record is from Ensembl.
GACAACUGAAGCUUCUACUACCAAAGCUGUGAACCCCACAACCACUCUUAUAUCCUCAGCAACUGCACCUACAACAACAACAAAUGCUGCUACAGCACAAUCUUUGACCACUGAAGGUUAUAAAACCACAACUGAUAGCCCCACAACCACAGAAAAUGCUGCUCCAACAAAGACACCAUCUUCAGCAAUAACAACGGAAGCUUAUACAACCACAGCUGGGAACCCCACCACCAUGCCUGUGUUCUCUGCACCUCCAGCAACAGAAAAUGCUGCUUCAACAACAACUCCAUUGUCUUUGACAACUAACGCUUCUGCUACCCAAGCUGUGAACCCAAUCAGAAACCAAAAUAACAGCAAAAGCUGCUCCAACAACACCAUUGUCAACAACAAAUGAAACUUUAACAACCAAAGCAAUAAACCCCACAACCAUGCCUGUGUUCCCAGAACCUACAACUGCACCUCCAGCAACAGAAAAUGUGGCUCUAGCAACAACAGCACGGUCUUCAACAAGGGAAGCUUCUACAACCACAGCUGUGAAUCCUACAACCAUGUCUGUAUUUCCAGAACCUACAACAAAUACUGCACCACCAACAACAGCAGUAACUUCAACAACUGACGCUUCUACAAUUACAGACCUGUACCCCACAUCCACACCUUUCUCCUCAGCAAAUACAAGUCCACCGAUAAGAACAAUAAGUGCUGCUCCAACACCCUCCUCAGUCACUAAAGCUUAUACAACCACAGAUGUGGCACCCACUUCCUUGCAUGUUUUCUCAGGACCUACAAUUGCACCUCCAGCAACAGAAAAUGGUGUCCUUACCUCAACACUUCCUUCAAUAUCUUCAACUUCUCUUGUAUCACCAAGCACAACAACCGUAUCUCCAACCACAAUACCACUUUUCACAAAAAACAUAACUGCUGCAGAAACAACAUUUGUUACACCCACAACCAUACCAAUGUUGUCAGAAUUUACAAAAUCAUUUCUAACAACCACAUCUUUGCUAAAUGCAACAACAAAUGCAGUGACUCUGACUAGUCUUUCAGAAACACAAAAUCCAGCUCCAACUGCAUUUGUAUCUCAAAGCACAAAAACUGUGUCUUUAGCAACCACUGCACCAACCAUAAUAAUUGCAACUCAAGAAACCACUAUCCCAUUGUCAAUGUCAGCUACUGGUAUUUCGGCAAUUACAAGUGUGACUCCAAUGAGUACGUCUGGAGCUACAACAAGUGUUCCUAUAAACUCAGCUGCUACAAUUGCAUCAAUUCAAACAACAGCAGUGGUGGCAAGCAAACUGCUAUUCAACUCCUCAUUUCCAGUACUCAGUGAAUCUCAGGUCCUCAGUGUUAUCACUAAUCUCCUGAAAUCCAGAGAGUCACAGCUCAGAGAAUCAUUGAAGGUUGUGAAUUUUACCUAUGAAAAAAUCUCAGAAACCUCAUAUGCUGUGGUCUUCACAUUUAACCUGGUUAACAUCAGCAUGUCAGAAGACCCUGAUCUCAGAGGCAACACCUACCAGCAAGUGAAGGAUAUCAUCAAUAAUGCGCUGAACACUCUUCUGAAUGAACCUGGCAAGGACAUUUUUGAACCCAAAUCUUCCAAUUUUACGAGCUCUUCAAACCAGAUUGAUGGCAGGAUGGACUACACCUUCCAGGAUGGAGAUGCCAUACAACCAGUCAGCUUCCUAAAUGAGCUACGUCUGCCAACCACUACAACAGUUCUUCCAGAAACAACAACUGGUUUCUCUGUGACCCUUUCAAAUCUCAUAUCUGUUACAGCAGUGGUCACAAGCAAGCUGGUGUUCAACUCCUCAUCUCCAGUCCCCAGUGAAGCUCUGGUCCUCAGCGCUAUCAACACUCUCCGUCAUUCCAGAGAGUCACAGCUGAAUGAAUCAGUGAAGGUGGUGAAUGUCACCUAUGAGAAAAUUUCGGAAUCUUCCUAUGCUGUCAUUUUUAAAUUUAAUAUGAGUGACAUUAGUAUGCCAAUGGACUCUGGACUCAGAAACAACAUCUACCUGCAAGUACAGGAUACUAUCAAUAAAGCGAUAAACACUCUUCUGAAUGAACCUAGCAGUCCAGCUUUACAACCCAACUCAUCCAACUUUAAGAGUCCAUUAAAUCAGAUUGAGGGCAGUAUGGAGUACAACUUCCAAGAUGCAGAUGUUAGAAAACCAGUCAGGUUCCUACAGGCGCUUAGUUCAUUGACAGUCUUAACAACAGCCAGUACUCUGGCAUCAAGCUCAGCUUCUCCACCAACAUUGUUGGGGAAGGUUUAUAUAAAAAUCCAAUUGGAGUUUCACACACUGGGUCCAAAACCUAGUAAGGAUUACAUUCUAAACUUGGCCAACUCUAAGCUCAACCCACGUUACAGAAAUAAAGAAGACGCAACACCAACCCAGGUUACUAGCCUUGUGGGUAUUACCUAUACAGGACUUAAUGAUACCUCAUAUGCUCUCACAUUUGAAUUUGAAAUCAGUAAUGUACUCAUGUCUGAGAAACGUGAACUAAGGAAUGAAACCAAAACUUCAAUCAAAAGCACUAUAAAUACAUUGCUUGUCGACAUCCUAAAUGAUCCCUCAGCUUCUCAGUUUGAUCUGCAAAACGUUGAAUUCGAUGAUAAUAGCACAGUGAUUCUGGCCAGUGUGCAGUAUGUUUUCUCACAAAGUGACUUGAACACAAACAGCACCUUUGUCAAGGAAAUAUUCAGUGCUAAGGAAGUCUUAACGACAGCCAGUGCUCUGACAACAAGCAUAACUUCUCCACCAACAUUGUUGGGAAAGGCUUAUAUAAAAAUCCUAUUGGUGUUUCACACACUGGGCCCAGUACCUAGUAAGGAUUACAUUCUAAACUUGGCCAACUCUACGCUCAACCCACGUUACAGAACUAAAGUAGACGCAACACCAACCCAGGCUACUAGCCUUGUGGAUAUCGCCUAUACAAAACUUAAUGAGACCUCCUAUGCUCU